RNAcentral lists this ribosomal RNA (334 nucleotides) under uncultured eukaryote. Its description in RNAcentral is "partial 18S ribosomal RNA". It matches the Rfam family "Eukaryotic small subunit ribosomal RNA", at positions 1470 to 1796 of the family's 1831-position model. The record is from RNAcentral.
CCCUUAGAUGUCCGGGGCCGCACGCGCGCUACACUGAAGGAAUCAGCGUGGCUUUCUCCCUGACCCGAAAGGGUUGGGAAACCCGUUGAAUCUCCUUCGUGAUAGGGAUUGGGGCUUGAAAUUGUUCCCCAUGAACGAGGAAUUCCCAGUAAGCGCGAGUCAUAAGCUCGCGUUGAUUACGUCCCUGCCCUUUGUACACACCGCCCGUCGCUACUACCGAUUGAGCGGUUCAGUGAGGGCCUCGGAUUGGUCUCGGUCUGGCGUGCAAGCGCCGGCACCGUUGGCCGAGAAGACGCUCGAACUCGAUCGCUUGGAGAAAGUAAAAGUCGUAACA